AACAUGGCGAAUUCCAUGUAAGGGGACCCGUGGUGUAUCUAGAUAGAAAUAUCUUAUUCUAAAGUAAUAAAACAUAACGCUUCAUUAUGUAAGGUCUAUAUACACCUCUGAAGACAUAGUUAUGUGUAUUAUAUUGCAUUUCUGUCAUAAGAUCCUCCAAAAAAUUACACAUGGGACCUUUAAUGAAUAAUACAAAUAAUAAACAUAUUAUAUUGCUACUAUCCCUUUAAAGGCUAAAUUCUCUUUUCUUACCCCACGGUUGACUCUUUGCAGUCCCUAAACCACUAAGCAGUCUCUGAGAUGAACACACUAAGAUUCGCAAGAUUUGGCAACAGAGAUCAUAAUUCGCCUCUUCAGGCACCUUGACGCAUCACAGCAGAUUAUUUCCUGUCAUGUUUGUUGACAGCUUCCUGCUGCUAGUUUUGCAGCUUCCUUUUGAUGUUACAAAAUCCCUAAUCUGCUGAAGUCACUGAACCAGACCGCCUUGAUCCGAAGACGGAACGCCCAAAAGCCUCCCGUGUUUGCGAAAUAUGCUUCCAAUAGCUUAAAACAAGUGAUUUUGGCUCCUGUUUGGCUUUGAUAGCCAGCAUAAUAGAAGAAAUGUCUUGAUUUGUGAUUUUCUUGCUGGUGUAGUCGUUUUCCAGGCGUCUGACUGACACUCGCGAGCAGACAAGCAUUAUGAACGCGGGGGGAACGUUCGAACCUGCCUUUGUUCAAUUUCACACUCUAUAUGAAAUGUCACGUCUGGGAUCUCGCCCGAACGAAACACGAGAAAAAACAACGGGGCACAACGCUCGAAUGAUUCUAGGCGUCGAUACGAAACACAAGCUUUGAUCUGCCCUUGCGUGCAGACGGUUCACGUAUCAGGAUUUAGAAGUUCAAUGUAUCUCAGGUAUAUUUUUGUCUGAACGCCAUUGAAGUAAUUUACUCAUCAGUGUCUUGUAAUGGAGAGUUUUUGAUCUUCUGACCUCCAGAAUUAAUGUCACUCAAUAAGGUCAAAGCUGCGAAAGCUGUGCUGUCUGUUUGUUUUAUCUUCGUUUACCUCUGUUUUUUAUGUUUUUUUGCUCUCUCAAGCCAGGACAGGACCCAUCCAUCAUGCCCGAUUGGUUUGUUUGGAUGAGAAAUGAAACAGCUGUGCAGGCAGUUAUAAGCACAUUAAACAUCUCUGGCAUUAGCCUAACUGAGAGAGUGACCUUCCACGGCGGGCACCAUUGCAUCUUUCUCUACAGCAGAAGCCAUGGCAUUACAGAUAAAAUAGCCAACUUGAUAAACAUGACUAUUUUCACAAAAGAACCACUAGAGAACCAUAAAACAACUUAAUAUGACAUGAGAUCAUGGCAAUUUUUGGCUUGUUGUAUUGGAAAGAGUGGUAAGAUGGUUUGCGACUAUUAAAGCUGCAAUCUGUAACUUUUUUGGUUAGAAACUAAACAAAAAUCAGUUAUUGAGCAAGUACAUUAAACACAAGUUUUCAAAACUGUCACCUUGCGUUUAACCUGAUUUCCAACAUUAAGCUUAUAAAAUGCAUAAAGUAUACAUAAAGUAACCUGCAGUUUUUUAUUUUAAACAGAUGGCGAUAGAGAGGCAAAAAAUUUAUCAAUUACAGCUUUAAAGGAAUUGAAAAUACAUGCUAACAAUUUAUAUGUUGCUUGAAAAUAUGUAUCAACUUCUGAAUGGUUGUUUUUAUCUGCACAAUUCUGUUGUUACAGUAUACAAUAGCAACAACCAGCAGGAGCAAGCUGAACCCCCGCUGACCAUCCGAACUCCAAAUGAAAAGGCUACAGGUUGCCUUUGGACGAGUUGACGUGAGAAGUCUUAGAUCAAUGUUGCCACCCUGUGUCGCUUACGAGGUCUGCUGGUGACAAGAAGGAAAGCUAAUGCUUAUGUUAUAUAGGCGGACGACACCCCGGAGGUUACGAGAACGCCAUAUGCUCACGGGCCUGAAUGGAUUGCUGAUUGGUAUCUUUGAUCCGUGAACCGAAGUCCAGCCUUCUGAUGAACCAUUGAUCAAACGGGAGGAUGAGAGGAAGAGGCGAUGAGACUGAGGAAGAGCUGACACCGGGAGGAGGAAGAGGUCGGCUCUGGCUUUCAGCUUCAGUCAACACUGUUGACACUUGUAGCCGUGACAGGAAGUUGAAGUCGGAGGUUUACACAGUGAAGGGUGUUUUGGCAUUGCAAUUGCACGUCUCAUCUACCUACAAGCAUCACCCCAGUUCUCUGAGUGACAUCUCCCACACAUCCGCUCCGUUCACCUUGCAAGGCUGAUUCAGGGAGGAGAUCUGUGAGCAUCAUAAGGAAGAAAAGAAAAGCAAACAACAGACACAAAAUAACUUAAGGAUGUGCAAUACUUUUAACUGUCGGUUCUGUGGCUCGGGGCUGUGUGAACGUUUAUCAGUUCUUUUUAAUUUGGGAAAGCUUUCAACAGAACAUCAAGAGCAGGACUUCAUAUAAUGUUAUUAGGAGAAACUGUUUUCAUUGUUUUCAAUGAGGUUUCCAGGCAUGAUUUGCAUAAGAUUGCAGAUUUAAUGUGACGGAAUCGCGUAUGAAACAAUGAGGAAAUGAAGAAAAUUAGUUAGGACUUAAUUUGAUCCAUUGGAAAUGUAUUGGAUCAUAAAUAGUGGUGAAAAAAAUAAAGCCAUGUGCUUGGAAGGGAAGGGCAGGAGAAAUAAGAGGGCUUUGUGACGUCGACAAAAAUAAAAAAAAACUAAAGAAAACUUUUUUUGCUUUGAAACUAAAUCCAGUGAUCAUUGACAAUGCAAGACCAAUUUGUUUAUUUAGAAGGUAAACUUUACAUUUUGAUUUCCUGUUGACUUUAAAAAUAAACUUUAACCACCUAUCUCUGCCCAACACUUUCCUGUCCGCUCUCUACUGUC
Long non-coding RNA from Triplophysa rosa, 2870 nucleotides. RefSeq lists it as uncharacterized. The transcript has 5 exons. The record is from RefSeq and is a predicted model, not a curated record. Lineage: Eukaryota; Metazoa; Chordata; Actinopteri; Cypriniformes; Nemacheilidae.